Molecule: long non-coding RNA, 13172 nt
Filed under: Equus caballus (horse)
Lineage: Eukaryota; Metazoa; Chordata; Mammalia; Perissodactyla; Equidae
Description: lncRNA (ENSECAG00000049493.1)
Source: RNAcentral
CUCUUACAGCACAAAUCUAGAUAAUUUCAGCAUGAAAAUCAAAAAUGAUAAUUUAUUCAAGAAUGACACAUUGAGCAAAAUAAAGAUCCAUGACUUUCUCCGGAUAUAAAUAUAUGAAUAAAUGAAGUAGCAGGGAAAGCUCUUCAUUACAUAAAAAAAGAGAAACAUAAAAACAAAAAGUAAUACAGUUGCAACAUCACCAUUUUUCAGCUAUUGUAGUAAUGACUGGUUUAUGCAGGAAUCAUCAAUGAGUGUUAUAGGUAUUGAAUGAAAUUUUGACAAACAACAAGAGAUUUACAUAGCCUCAAAAUAUUUUCCCAGAAAAUGAUUACUAAUUAUAAUUUAACACUUUGUGACCAUGAACACUUCCUUUGUUAUCUCUGAGAGAUUUUCCUCACCCUCAUAAUGGAAAUACUCACAUAUGUUUGCAGGUCCUCUGAGAUAUAAAUACAGGAACCACUAAAGCGUCUAAAAGUAACUGACAGACAUUAGACGCUCAAUAAAUGCUCAUCUAGUUUCUCUUUUCUAAACAGGAGCAAAGAUCAGACAACUCUGACUAAUUAGAAUUUCAGGAGAAAAAAAAUCAACUCAUCUGGAACUGGGUCAGGGUCUCCUUCUCUGGGGAAAGUGUGGAGAAGACAGAGAGCAAGUGGGGAAGAAAGAAGCCACAGUGAGCAGACUAGCCCACAUCAGGCAGUCCAGGCUUCAGGAAGGAAGUGAACAUUUGACUCCACCGAGACAUCAGCCCCCUUACCUGAGCCAUUGUUUUCUCUCUUACCCACCCAAAAAGGUCUGUUGCUCCUUUCCCACCCUCGACUCUUCCGUAACUGCCACCUCUUGACUCAACCUUUUGGCUUAAGCUCCCUCUACUGUCUCCCUCUGUCACUCUCUGUGUGGUUGUGGUAACUCCUCCCAAGUCACCCUCUUUCUGGGCCAGAAAGUCCUGGGAGAAUGCAAACCCGGGAGUUCCAAAGUCUUCUCUCUUCCCAAACUCUCCAGGUUCUCACUUGAAUUUGUUGAAAGAGGUCUCAGGUCAGAGGGGUUUCCUCUCAGAAUCUAUUCUUGCUGCUUAGGGUGCUUCCUCCUCCCCCACUCUCUAGAAUCUGCGUUUUCCCUUAGCACAGGGAAUGUGCAUGCAGAGACAACACUACGUGGGGGGAAAUUUACUCUGAGGACCAACAUUCACUCUCUCUUCACCUGCCAAAUGAUGAGUGCUUACUCUACAAAAUAAAGGGUCACAGCUCUGGUCAUUUCAGAUUCGGAAAUUAACAGCCCAGUCUCCUCCACUGAGGCUCCAGCAAAUGGCCUUGACAGGAGGGUCCUAGCAGGCUCUGCCCGCUGACAGACGCCCCGGAGGCUCUACAGAGGGCUGGGGACUCCUGACGACAUGGCCUGAGGUGCAAGGAGGCUCUGGGAGUGGAAGUGGCUGGAAAAGGCUGUUCUGGGGACAGGUCAGUAGGACGCACCCCGGCCUCUAGGAGCUCAAGACUAAUGCGUCACGUCACAGCGACAUUCGCCUUCUGCGGAUAGUAAAGAUCUUAUAAAGUUGUUUUGAACUUGGCUUAUUAGUCUCUCUUCACCUUACACUUUGACAAUCCCCUGAACAACAAUAACGCGCCGCUCUCUCAAGACCCAGGAUGGGUCUCAAGCGGGGAAAACGCGGAGAACGGGUAGUUACGGGACUUUCAACUGGCCAGGGAGCAUGCGCAGUGCGCUCUUCUUGGCGCGUGCGCACACGCGGGCUCAGUUCCCCAGUCGCGCCGCGACCCUGCCGAGCUUUUCCUUCCGCUACCGCUGCACAGCGUCUCUCGCUUCGAUGACUCAGGCCGGCUCGCAUCCCCCGUGGUAGCUCGGUGGACUACAAUCCCCAAAUGCGCUCGCGCCUUCCGCUUCCUCCGCCUGCUUAUCCCGGUUCUGGGCUCUGGUUGUGGGGCGAGUCGGGGUUGCUGUGCUGUGGCAAAAAGGGGCUUGAUACUGCCCCUUUCAUGUUUCAAAUCCUCUUAUUUUGACUCUUGCCAACUACCGAAGGGAAAACUUGUGUUCUUUGUUGUGUAAACAUAUUGAGUAUGCAUUUAUGUUCAUACUGUUUAUUUAAAUAUAUUUUCACAUUAUUUGCCCGUUUUUCUGUCGGGGUUUUGCUUGCUGUAUUUAAAUACAAACUUUAUAUAUUCAAAUCUACUUUUUCUUUAUUCCUUUUUAUUUUAUGGCUAAAAACCAGGAACCUUUUAAUUUUAACUGAUUACAAGGGUAAAUAUUCAUUUCUUUUCUUUUUGUUGUUGCAGUUGAUUUGAAAUACCUCGUUCAUGGGCUUUCUUUUCAUAGCAGGCUGGCACAACUGCUGCCAAUUACAGUGCAUUUCUGAAAGUUACAGCUCUACCUUUUCCAAGGCAGCUUUUCUCCUUAUAUAAUGGAGAUAAGACAGGAAAGACAGAGUGGAUCUCAAAGAAAAUUGAAACGAUAAAAGGGUGUGAAAUGACAGACUAGACUUCUUAACGUUUAUGCACAAAUUUUUCCCAUAGUAUCUCCAUCAUUGCCCACUCCAAUUCCAUUCCAUUUCCACUCUUUCUCAGUGACGAGAAUAUAAAAACUAAACACUUUCUCUUCUCAUGCCUGUGUGUCCAGCCAUCUUGUUAACCUACAUCUGUUUUGCUGGCCAAUUCAUAUUUAAUUUCUUAUGAUUUAGCACAAUGAUUUUUACUGACACGAUUUAUUUAACAAAGGAUAUUCAAGAACAUUUGAUCUUUACAAAAUAUAGUACCUUAUACUUCUUUGUAUUUUUUUCUGUUUAAUCUAAUAAAAUCCCUUAUGUUAUAACAACGAAUUUUCUUCCAGAUCAAAAUUACUCAUUAAGAAUCUUUGGCACUGUUCUUCUCAGAAGAAACUGACAUUACCAGUCCCAGCCAAUGAGACUUACAACUAACAAAUUCUAGUAAUAUUCCAGUGCAGAUGUGGAUGGCUUCAUGAAGUAGAUUUCUAAACUUAGGUCAGGGAACAAACAGGUGACUUUAAGAUAGAUUCUUAUUCGGCAUCCCACAUGGCACAACUGGAAGGACCCACAGCUAAAAAAGUAAAAAAUAAUAAAAAAAUAAAAGAGAUAGAUUCUUAUUAAUGAUUAUGUGACUGGAUGGGUAUAUUGGCUAAUGCUAUGGUGGUAAUCAUUUUGCAAUAUAUGUGUAUCAAAUCAGCAUGCUGUACACCUUAAACUUACGUAAUGUUAUAUGUCAAUUAUAUGUCAAUAAAUCUAGGGAAAAAAGAUAGAUCUUUACCCUAUGGCUAGUGAGAAAGAACAAGUGACAUUUUUGUAUUUAUCGUCUGUCUCCCUAAACUAGAAUGUUAUCUCUAUGAGAUUUUAUUUAUUCACUACUGCUCUCCUGUACCUGAAACUGUGCCUUGCCCCUUGUAGGCUCUUAAUAAAUAAUUUAGAAUAAAUGGACUUUACCUUUGCUGUAUAUAAAAAAGUGUCAACCCAAGCUUAGUGGCUUAAAAUAAAGCAAUAGCUAUCAUUUUAUUAUUAUCUCUCGUGGUUCUAGAAGUUUGUUGGGCUUGGUUCUAGAAGUUGUUCUUGCUCCAGGUCUCUCAUGUGAUUGCAGUCAGAUUGGUGGCUGCAGCUGAAGUCAUCGGGACGUCUUCCUCAAUCACAUGUCUGAAAGUUGAUGCUGGAUAUCAGCAGAUCAGCAGCAUUGUCAGCCAGAAGAAUCAUAUAAGGCCCUCCUAUGUUGCCUGCACUUUCCAAUAGCUGGUGAUUAGGUUCCAAGAGCAAACAUCUCUAGGAAACUAGGAGGAAGUAUGUGCAUUUUCAUGAAGUAGCCUUAGGAGUCACAUAGCAUCACUUCUAUAAUGAAGUACCAUCCAUGUUGAAGGGGAGAGGUCAUAAUCCCUAUCACUUGAUGGAAGGCGUCUCGAUUCCAUAUUUUAUGAGUAUAUGGGAUAAAAUAUAUUGUUACAGCCAUCUUAGGAAAAUUCAGUCAGCCACAAGGGCUGACCACCAACAAACUACAGUUCAUAAUCACGUAUGAGACUCUCUCAGAUACUCUGAAAAAUAAGUUAGAGAAGCUUUAAAGUGGGAUGACAAUGCUCUGAUAGCUCAUGAGUCAUGUGGUAAAGAUGGAGAACCAUAUUAUAGAUGUUUUAUAAAUGUUGUCAUGGUCGUGCAGAGAUACUGACUUCUCUAGUGUCUGUAGAGAUCAUCCAGGUGGAUGGGGGCAAUCAGGACAUGGAGCAAGCAGAUGUCUGGUUCCCCUCCCUCUACUUUAAUCAGAGCACCUGCACUUUUAAUUUGUUUGUGUAAACACAGAACUCUGGUUCUGUGUAGUGAUUCACCUGAAGGGAACCAUUCUGCUGCUUAACAGGUUGGUAUAGACGUGCAAAUAUACUGCAUUUGUGUUGAUUUCGGCUGCUGCCAAUAUUUUUUGUUUGUUUUUGUCAUUUUCAGAGAAUUUGACGGGAAAUAUUGAGGGAGAAUUUUAAAAAAAUGAAUCACAAUUACAUGACAUUCAUGCAACCACAUACCCUUUCAGAUAUGUUCCCUCUGAUCCCUCUUCUCCACGUAUCCUUCUGGCUGCCACUGUCAGUUGGAUUUAGCACAUUAAAAAAUAACUGUUGCGGCCGGCCUGGUGGUGUAGUUGUCAAGUUCACAUGCUCUGCUUUGGUAGCUUAGAGUUCACAGUUGCAGAACCCAGGCAGACCUAGCACUGCUCUCAAGCUACACUGUAGCAGCAUCCCACAUAAAAUAGAGGAAGACUGCACAGAUGUUAGCUCAGGGCCAAUCUUCCUCAAACAAAACAAAACAAAAACUUCUGUUUACAUGAAUGUCAUUGUUUAUUAAGGUUUCUGUCUCCUAGAACCACCUAACAUUCAUACAAAUCAUCACAUGCCACAUUCCUGUCAGUCUCUCAUUUCUGAGAAGGAGGCAAAGGAUCCAUUCAUUUUUCUUAUUGGAUGCUGCUUCAGCAAAGAUUUAUGAAUAAUUUCUUUAUUAUUGACCACAUAAGUAUGAAUAACAAAGAAUUGUGUUAUAGGCCAAAGGAGCAAAACAAUACUAAGCAUCAGUCCUGUAUUAAGACAGAGUAAACUUAUGCAUGGUAAUACGUGUCAUCUAAAUAUCAGUGACUUAAGACAGGAAUUAUUUCUUUUCAUGCAGUGUUAGCCUAGCUCAGACCAGACAUUAGGUCUACUCUCUUCCACAUGGGAACUCAACCAUGCAGGCUUCUUUGAUCUUGUGCCUCCAGCAUCUCAGUAUAUAGCCUCAACAUGGGGAAGAAAGAGACUAAAAUUUGAAUAAGAGCUAUUCACUACCACAGCCAAUGGGUGAUCCUUCAGAUCCCUGUCCAUUGAUGAGAACUAGACUGUGUCCCCACCUAAGUGCAGGGGACUGUAAUUGUCCAUGUGUCCAGGAAGGAGAGGAGAGCUUGACACAAAAAAUGCCUAUGGUGGUAUUAAAUGUUGUCAAGGUUUUUGCAAUCCUUUUGGAAAGUAAUGAGAACAUUCUUUGAUUCAGUAAUUUUAUGUUUGGAGACCUGAAAAACUAAUCUGAAGAAACUACCCCCACCCCAAACAACACAAGGCAUCUUCUUUGACUUCCCAUAACAACCUGGACAUUAAUCUGCCAUAGUUCACAUCACAUUAUUUUAUCAUCAUGUGUUUUUUUGUCUGACCUUCAUACUAGAUUGUUUUUGACUCUCAAGCCAUAGAGAUGUAUAAAGUUAAUGAACAAUGUAAGUUGAAGAAUAAAUAUCUAUAGUGGGAGCCAUUUAUAAGUAACAAAACCCAGUCUGCACUUGUCAUGGCUUAGAUAUGUAGAGCUGGUAGAGAAGUCUCUGAGAUGCCAUGUAAGAAAAUAUUUCACAUAAGAGUUUAGUCUUCAAUUAUGUUUGAAAAAUUAAUAAAUGAUAUGGACUGAAAGGAAGGAUGAUAUUAGAUGCUGCCUUUACCUAGAUCUUCUAAUGCACGGGAACUGGCUGGUUCAGUGAACCACCACUGACCAAUGUAUAUCUACAGACUCAAGUCAACCAGCAGCAGGGUCUAGAACUGCUCUUGUUGUCCUUUGUCUGAUUUCUAGUGGAUCCUGAGAGGGAGGGAGGUGGGGGUACACACAGGUAUUAACAUAUGGCAUCCUUUAUCCUUCCCACCACCCUCACCUCAGGUUCUGACUUGCAUGUCAACUUACCCACUCAUCUUAAAUUCUUAAAGGCUCUUCAAUCUGUGUAGUUGUUCCUGGCUCCCUGGGAUUGUGGUCUUGCCUUCCAAUAGCUUGGAUUCCACACUAUCGAGUCAGAUCAUUGGGAACCGUGAUAGUACCUCUGGUCUGACUCUGGGUAUUAUAAUUAUUUGAUGGCACCUGCUAUCUUCCUGUGUCCUAGACAGCAGUAGGUUCCCCCUUUGUAUAAUCAUUGCUACAGAACCCUACUGGAAGCCAGAGAGGGCUAAAUAGUCUGAAGAGGUUUAGGGUGUGCAAGACUGAAUGGGUAAGUUGGCAUGCAGAUCCAAGUCUGAUUCCAAUUCACUCAACAUCCACAUUGGUCUCUAUGCCCAGCCCCUAAAUACCCUUCUCUUCCCCACCAGUCUAGCCCGGAGUUCCUGGCAUGAGUCUAAGGGAACAUACCUGAAAUAUAGGUAGUGUGAUUCCAGGUACAUCACAGAACGUAAGACGGAACAGAGAUGAGAAUGCAUAUGGUAUAUAUAGAAGUGGUAAUAGACUAGAGAGAGUGGAGCAAAUGGUUUCCAUUGGAGAUGGUACAAGUUCAGGCUUGAAAGGAAGGUGGGAGCUAUGUUAUGGAAUUCCUUGGAUGCUAAGUUAACAGAGUAUGAAAUUAUCCCAUACAGAAGAAGUUACUCUUGUGCAGUUUGAAGAACCUGAGAUUGUUAGCAAUCUCAGCUCAGGUCUUUUAAACUUGGCUCUAUCACUUAUUCCAUGUUUGAUAGUCCAAAUGGCUAAUUUUCUAAACUUCGUUUUCCCCCUCCAAAUUGAACACACCCUUCUUGCUAAGUUGUUGUGAGAUUAGAGGUAGUAAAUCUAAAAGAAUGAGCACAGUGCCUGAUAGAGAGCAAGUAUUUUUAUUGGGCUAAAUUAUCACUACAAAUUUGGGAGAAUGUGUUAAUAGUGGUAUUUUAGGAAGAAUAACUUGACUGCUUACUGGAUGGGAUUGUAGCUGCAGCAUAUUACAAAAGCAAGGAGAAUCCAUCAAUAUAUCAAUAUGAUAAUAAAAGAACCAAGUUCUGGACUAAGACAGAGCCUAUUGAAAGGAAAAAGGAGGGAAAAAAAAGCAGUGCUGUGUACAUGUGACCCCCAAGUGUCAAGCCUACUUAAUUGACUGAAUGUUAGGGCUAAAGAAGCAGGUUUGUGGUGAAGAUGAGACUUAACUUUAGAAGUGGAGCAUUUGACAUCAAAACUCUGAAUCCAAGAGGAUGUGCAUACCUAACUCCUAUGCCUGAAGCAUACAAAGGAAGUUAAUGUUUGGAUUUGGGAAUUUUCUGCAUAGAAGUCAUACUGAAAACAGUGAGCGGUUAAGAUCUGUUCCAAGCACAAAACACAUUCUUCUAAAGGUCAGGAGAGAGAAAACCGAUAUACACAUAUCCCGGGCUUGAAGUAGUAGACACAGAUGCACACACAUACACAUUUCUCAGGAAUGCACUGAUACUCCCCUCUCUAAAGAAGUGGCAGCAGGUCCAUACACUUCCGAAAUCACUGCUCCAGGAUCCAUGCUUGUGAUUUUCCGAUGUCACCACCAGGUGGAGCCCACGCUUCACUACAUCUCUUCUGCUUUUGGAGAUGAGCUCAGUUCACCAAGAAAUUCAGGGCUAUUUACUGUCUACUAGACUGAAGAAAUUUUGCAUGGUAAUUUAGAUAGAAUUUGUAAAAACUUGUAAAAGAAGUACUAUAGGUCUCCCAUAUUUCCCUAGAACAUGGGCCAAUUAUCAGACAGAGCUGUUAGCAACCUUCUUGGAGUACUUAAUUUGAGCAAAUUAAUAACUAAUUCUGUUUUCUGAUGUCACUUUUGUUUAGAUUUGCUUGUCUUGCAGAAACUUCACAUUCUCCCAAUGAGAAGUUUAUUAACUACUACUUUAAUGAUAAACAGCAUGAAUGUCAGGAAAAAUAGCAUUUAGUUAUUUUUAAGGCAAAAUUAAAUCAUCUGCUCUGAACAUUCUAAUUUCAGAGAGGAGAAGAGGGGAGAGAAGGGGAAAGGAGGUGACAGGAAAGGAGAGAAGAGGAGAGGGAGAGAAUGACAUUGGUAAUGUGGUGCCAUCAUCACCUAGUUGGUGAUGUCCCUUGGGAUUUCCUCAGGAUCACUUUACUUACUUAUUGAACUUUUUAUUCAAGUAAAAUAGACAUACAAAAGUGCAUGCAUCAUAAGUAUGCAGCUCUAUAAAAGUUAACAGCACCCUUGACACUUCCCUUAAUAUAAACUCGUAUCAUACAAAAUAUACUCUUGUGUGUUUCACUUCCUUUGAUGGAUAUUGAGAUUGUGAAGCUAGUUCUUAUUGUGGGUGAACAGUUAUUGUUCCUAUAUUCUCAUAGCUGUAUAGUAUUUCGUUGUGUCAAUACAUCACAGCUUAUUUAUCCAUUCAGCUGAUAAUGGAUAUUUGGGUAGUUUCAAAUUCUUUACCAUUACAAUUAGUGCUGCUAUGAACAGUCUUGUAUAUCUUUUUGUGAAUGCAUUCAUGCAUUUAUGUUCAGUAUAUAAAUAAGGUUAGAACUGCUGUAUUAUGCAUUUGUUCAAUUUUAGAGAAUAUUGCUAAAUACUUUUCCAAAAUUAUUAUGUCAAUUUGCAUUCUAAUCCACAGAAUAUAAAAGUUCCAGUUGUUCUAAAUCCUUGCUAAUACUUAGUAUUUUUGCUCCUUUUCAAUACAGCAAUUCUAGUGAAUAUAUUUUGUGAUUUUAAUAUACAUUUCCUUGAUAGCAAAUAGAGUAUAGCAUUACUUCAUAUGUAUAUUUACAAUUUUGAAACUUUGUUUUUGAGCACUGUUUACUUCUUUUCAUCAUUUUUAUUGAAUUGCCUUCCUCUUUUCUUAUUGAUUUAUAAUAUAGUAUUUUUAUAUAUUCUGGAUAUAAAUCAUCUGUAAGAAAUUAUAUUUUACAAAUAAUUUCUCUCAAUCCAUAGAUCUUAUUUUCACACUCUUAUUGAGGUUUUUUGAUAAACUGAACUUCUUGAUUUUAAUAUAGUCUAUAUUAUAUAUAUAUUAUAUAUAGUCUAUAUUUAAUAUAGUCUAUAUAUCAUUGCCCCUUUAUAUUUUUUAGCUGUGAGUCCUUCUAGUUGUGGCAUGUGGCAUGCUGCCUCAGCAUGUGUUGAUGAACGGUACCAUGUCCGCACCCAGGAUCCGGGGGCCAAAACCCUGGACCACCGAAGUGGAGUGUGUGAACUUAACCACUCAGCCAUGGGGCUGGCCCCCUACCAUUUUAUCUUUUGUUUUCUGGAUGCUCUAUAUUUCCAUUGUUUCUUUUUACUUGUAUUUCUGUCUGCCAUUUCAGUUUGGUAGUUUUCUGUCAGUUGUUUUCAAUUUUCUCUUGAUGAUUUGUAACUCUGCUCUGGUUUUUUGUUUUGUGGUUACCAUGAGAUUUGUAUAAAAUAUCUCAUAGAUGAGAUAGUCCUUUUUUCUGAUAGCCUCUUAUCUCCAUUAGCCUAUGCAAGUUCCAUCCCUUUCCUUUUCCCUUCUAUGUUUUUGUUGUCUCAAAUAUUUUUUUGUGCUGUGACCAAAUUGAAGUGGUUAUAGUUAUUUUUGAUGCUUUCUUUCCCUUUAUCCUUUUUGGUAUAAUUAUGUGUUUACUAACCUAUUCUGAUAUGGAGCUGCAAUUUUCUAAUUCUGUUUAUUUAUCUCAUUGGCCAAUGCUUUGUAAAACUUUGCCUUUUUGUUUCAAGUAGGAGGGCACCUUUCAUCAUUUCUUGUAAGGCAGUUCUAGUGGUGAUGAACUCUCUCUGCUUUUGUUUCUCUGGGAAAGAUUUUAUUUUUCCAUCAUAUCUGAAGAAUAAUCUUGCUGGCUAGAGUACUCUUGCCUAAUAGUUUUUGCCUUUCACUAUUUUGAAUAUAUCAUUCCACUCUUUCCUAGCCUGUAGGGUUUCUGCUGAGAAAUACUCUGAAUGCCUGACUGAGGUUCUCUUUAGGUUAUUUUCUUGUCUCUUGCUGCCCUCAAUAUUGUUUCUUGGUCAUUGACUUUUGACAGUUUAAUAUUAUAUGUUUUGGAAAAGGUCUCUUUGCACUGAGAUAAUUAUAAAUUCCAUUUAUUUAAUGUACUUGUAUGUCCAGUUCCUUCCCCAGGUUUGGGAAGUUCUUCACUAUUAUUUCUUUCAAUAAGCUCUCUGCUCGUUUCUUCCUCUCUUCUCCUUCUGAGACACCUAUAAUCCUUAUGUUACGUUUCCUCAUUGAGUGGGAUAUUUCUCAAAGAAUUUCUUCAUUUUUAAAAAAUAUUAGUUCUCUUUUCUUGUUCAUCUGAAUCAUUUCUAGGUUUCUUUCUUUGAGGUUACUAAUUCUCUCCUCCAUAUGUUCUGCUCUAUUUUUAGUGCUUUCUAUAUUAUUUUUCACCUCAUUAAUUGUGUUAUUUAUCUCCAUAAUUUCUGUCUGAUGUUUUUUCAGAGUUUCAAUUGCCUUGGUGAAGUACUCCUUCUGGUCAUUAAUUUUACUCCUCUCUUCACUGAACUGUCUUUCUGAAUUUUCUUGUAACUCAUUGAGUUUAUGACAGCUAUCUUGUAUUCUCUAUCAGAUUGUUAACUGUGACUUCAAGUUUGGUUUUUGGAGAGUUGUCAUUGUCUUUCUUUUCUGUUGUUUUACUGUAGUUCUCCAUGGUGUUUGAUGAAUUGAUCCUCUGCCAGCCCAUUUGUGGUAGUAACCAUCUUUUCUUAAUUGGGUAUGGCUUUGGAACUUUGAUUCUGGGUUGUAUUCAGGUCUCUCCUUGUACUGCCUUGUGAACUUGAGGUUGCUGGUGCUUUGCUGCUUAUGAUAUCACUGCAGUCUUAUGUGCUGCCACCAAGGUCACAAGGCUGUGAAAACUUCCACUGAUUCAGGGGCUGCCUGGGUCUUUUGUUCCUCCACUUUCUCUCUGUUGGGUCUCCAAGGGCUUGGAUGCUGCUACCACGUGCACCACCUGUGCAGCUGCUUCUGGGUUGUCUGGAGGUGCUGGUUACACCACUGCCAAGGGUACUGUGUUCACAGGUAUUGCUGUUGAUGGACACCUCUGGAGCUUGGGAUUUGAAUGCAGCCCUCGCUGCUGGUGAUGCUAGUGUUGGGGUUACCAACACUAGGGGCUGAGUCAUGGCUUCUGCUGUGGUUCCUGAAGCCUUUUGUUACAGUUUCAAACUGCCACCACUGGAGAGAAGCAGGGGCUGUAUUUUCUGUUCCUUCUGCAUCUGCUCACAGUCACACAAGCAGGGGCACCAGCUGCCUCCUCUCCACUGGCAGUCAUUUGGGUCAGUACACCCACUGCUUCUAGUAACAGUCGUGUGAGCCACUGCAUGAGGAUCUGCACCCUGGAUUGCUGCCAUUGGGGGGGGGGGCUGAUCCCCUAGUUCUCUUGACUCCUGGGGGUCUAGACCACACACGUUCAGAUGUAUAGAUUCAUGGAUCUCUUACGUGUCAUAUUGUUCUGUAUAAGGAAUCCUUUGUUGGCCAAUGAAUGUCCAAUUUGUUGUAACUUAGAAGUGAGAGGCAAGGGAACAAUUCACUUCACCGUGAUGCAGACAUCACUCCUUUACAGAAUUUUUUAACUAGAAAAUAGUCGUUCAGUUUUUCUCUUGCUAUCAUUUCUUAGUUUUAUUCUUUACUCUGUUUUUUACCCAAGGGAACUCCAGACUGCUAGUAACUUGGAAAACCAAGUAUACAGGGAGGGUGUAGAAGAGAAGAGAGAGGCGAGGGUUAUGACAGAAGACCUUUAGCUACUCUCCAUUUUCUCCCCAAUUCUUCCUUUCAUGACCUCAGCCAGACCACACCAAGCCUGUACUGCACUGCUUAUGAGCUUUACCUUCCUCUGUUGUAUAAGGGAAGCUUGCAGGUGCUGUUAACUUUUAUGGAACGGCACAUUUAUGAUACAUACACUUUUGUAUGUCUAUUUUACUUGCAUAAAAAGUUCAGUAAGCAAAUAAAGUGAUCCUGAGGAAAUCUCAAAGGAUAUCACCAAUUAGAAGAUGGUGGCACCACAUUACCAACGUCAUUCUGUCCCUCUCCUGUUCUCUCCUCUCUUCUCAGCUUGUCUCCUCUUCUCGCCUCUUCUCUUUUCCUGAAAUUAGAAUGUUCAGAGCAGAUGAUUUAAUUUUGCCUUAAAAGUAACUAAGUGUUAUUUUUCCUGAAAGUCGUGCUGUUUAGCAUUAAAAUAGUACUUAAUAUAUGGAUUUGUCAUUGGGAUAAGGAGAAGCUUCUGCACAAGAAGCAGACAUAAACAAAGUGACUUCAGAAAACAAAGAUUGGUUAUUAAUUUACUCCAGUUAAUUACUCCAAGAGAGCUGCUAUUAGCUCUCUGUGAUAAUUGGCCUACGUUCUAGGGAAUUAUGGGAGCCAUAUAGUCCUGCUUUUAGAUCUUUUUACAAAUUCUAGCUGUGUAAAUUGUCAUGCAAGAUUUCUUCAGUCGAGUAGACAGGAAAUAGCCCUGAGUUUCUUCUUGAACUUAUCUCCAAAAGUAGUGCAGAUGUAUUGAAAUGUGGGCCCCACCUGGUGGUAACAUGGGAAAACCACAAGUGUGGAUCUGGGAGCAGGGAUUACUUAAGUGUAUGGACCUGAUGCCACUUGCUUAGAGACUGGAGUAACAUUACAUCCCUGAGAAAAGUGUGUGUGUCUGUGUAUCUUUGUCUACCACCUCAGUCUCAAGAUAUGCACAUCUGUGUCCUUUGUUAUUUUUUCCUCCUGACCUUAGCAGUGUCUGUUUUGUGCUUGGGGUGGGUCUUAAGUACUCGUUGUUUUCAGUAUGACUUCUUUUAAGAAAAUUCCCGAAUUAACCUUCCUCCUGUGAAUCAGGUGUAGGACUGCAUGUGUACAUGAGAGGCACACAUACAGAGCAAUACCUUUUUUUCCUUCUUUUUCCUUUCAUUAGGCCCUGCCUUAGUCCAUAAAUUAGUUCCUCAUUAUCAUAUAGAUGUGUUGAUUGAUGAUCCUUGUCUUUGUAAUAUGCUACAGCUACAAUCCCACUCAGUCAACAGUUAAGUUAUUCUUUCUAAGACACCCCUCUUAUCCACAAAUUCUCCCUAAUUUUCAGU